Molecule: ribosomal RNA, 408 nt
Filed under: Arthrobacter sp.
Lineage: Bacteria; Bacillati; Actinomycetota; Actinomycetes; Micrococcales; Micrococcaceae
Description: bacterial SSU rRNA
Rfam family: Bacterial small subunit ribosomal RNA
Source: RNAcentral
GGCUCAGGAUGAACGCUGGCGGCGUGCUUAACACAUGCAAGUCGAACGAUGAUCUCCAGCUUGCUGGGGGGAUUAGUGGCGAACGGGUGAGUAACACGUGAGUAACCUGCCCUUAACUCUGGGAUAAGCCUGGGAAACUGGGUCUAAUACCGGAUAUGACUCCUCAUCGCAUGGUGGGGGGUGGAAAGCUUUUUGUGGUUUUGGAUGGACUCGCGGCCUAUCAGCUUGUUGGUGAGGUAAUGGCUCACCAAGGCGACGACGGGUAGCCGGCCUGAGAGGGUGACCGGCCACACUGGGACUGAGACACGGCCCAGACUCCUACGGGAGGCAGCAGUGGGGAAUAUUGCACAAUGGGCGCAAGCCUGAUGCAGCGACGCCGCGUGAGGGAUGACGGCCUUCGGGUUGUAA